This 1344-nucleotide unclassified non-coding RNA is filed under the name Acanthaster planci (crown-of-thorns starfish). RNAcentral's name for it is "pleckstrin homology domain-containing family A member 2-like, transcript variant X1". The record is from RNAcentral. Lineage: Eukaryota; Metazoa; Echinodermata; Asteroidea; Valvatida; Acanthasteridae.
UUUUUUCCUUUUUUUCUUUUUUAUUUGGGAACACCUUUGGUGUUUUUUUUGGGUCCAUCGGCGAGUUCUGGUAGGAAGACCUUACCGCUAUGCCCUACAUGGAUAGACAGGGGCGGACCUGCGGGUUCAUGGACCUGGAGGAUCCCGAGCAGAAUGGUCGCUUCUUUCGUCGCUAUUUCCUGAUUGACCAGGAGAAAGGCCAGUUGCUGUGGUACAUGGAUAAUCCCUCUAAUCUUCCAGAUGGAACAAGUCACGUUGAUGCUAUACAGUUGUCACAGAUUUCCAAUGCAAGAGAUGCUACCAAGCAAAGGCCAAAAGUACCGUUUUGUUUUGUGGUAAGCGUACCAUCGCGGAGCUAUUACUUCCGAGCAGACAAUCAGCAAGAUAUGGAGGAAUGGGUUCUAAGUCUAAACAAGGCUUGCCGGGUCACGGUGCCAGUUACAGACGCGUCCAAAGUGUCCACUCCUCUCAAGCUGGACAUUGGCAAGGCCAACAGCCAGGCCAACUCGUCCCCGAAAUCUCCAGUCCGGGGGAUCAGUUACACAACGGAGAUCGUAGGGGGAGUUGUUCAUCGGAAGCCUGUUGAGAGCAGCGACAAGCGGGUAAGCCAACAGCCGCUGGGCCAGCAGCAGACCCUGCCGACCACUGUCCACCAGGCCCAGCUCAGCUUGACCCAGACUGUGCACAGUGAUACAGACAGCGAGGACGAGAGUGCCAGCCUGCGGGCCAGGUCCUGGCCGCGGUCUGUCUCCCCAUCCGGUGGUAGCGAGAAGAGUCUAUCCAGGAUAUUCCCCGGAAGGAACGUCAUCAAGGCCGGCUGGUGCGUCAAACAGGGGGCACUGAGGAAAAGUUGGAAGAGGAGGUUUUUCAUUUUGGACGAUGAAGGUCUAGCUUACUACAAAUCCUCAACAGACAAACUUCCGCUGAAGACGAUAUCGAAAAAAGACAUCACUGUCUCCAGGAUGUCAGAUUCAGGACAAGCACUUCAGAGAGACAACUUGUUUGAAAUAGUCAGCCUGUCGAGGACGUUCUUCGUACAGGCCUACUCUCCUGAUGACAUGGCUGAAUGGAUAAACUCGAUAAACGAAGUGAAAAACCCCAAACGUGCCAGUGCCCCCCAAGCAAGCCACACCUCAUAUUGUGAAGAUGAUGAGCCCGAAGAUUAUGUGUAACCUUCAUGAACAGCCCUAGAAAGUGUUUAACUUCAACGUUGAGUCAUAUUCAUGCCCUACAUGUGCAGCACUAACACUUGCCCUGAAACUCAGCCUCAUCUCGAAACUUUUGGACUGCAAGCGGGAGGCAUCGGCCGAGGGCAAGCCCAAGACACCCAGGACACCCCACGAG